RNAcentral lists this transfer RNA (71 nucleotides) under Barbichthys laevis (sucker barb). Its description in RNAcentral is "tRNA-Trp". It matches the Rfam family "tRNA". Rfam says of the family: Transfer RNA (tRNA) molecules are approximately 80 nucleotides in length. Their secondary structure includes four short double-helical elements and three loops (D, anti-codon, and T loops). The record is from RNAcentral. Lineage: Eukaryota; Metazoa; Chordata; Actinopteri; Cypriniformes; Cyprinidae.
AGGGAUUUAGGAUAACAAUAGACCAAAAGCCUUCAAAGCUUUAAGUAGAAGUGAAAAUCUUCUAAUCCCUG